Long non-coding RNA from Lathyrus oleraceus (garden pea), 736 nucleotides. RefSeq lists it as uncharacterized. The record is from RefSeq and is a predicted model, not a curated record. NCBI's taxonomy places the organism in Eukaryota, Viridiplantae, Streptophyta, Magnoliopsida, Fabales, Fabaceae. The transcript has 3 exons.
CCAUGGAAAAAAAGGUAGAUAGAUAAUAUACAACCCCAAGCGUAGGGUAUCCUUAAGAGAUCUGUCUUUCCCUCUCUCCUUCUGUGGCGCGCCCGAUGAUGCGAUUUCGGCGCGAUUUACGGCCGCCAUAGCCGCCUCUGCAAAAGGCGUCUCAGCUGAUCAGUUAUCAACUGUGCACCGUGAUUCCCAGAUUGACAGAGAACUGAAAGAUUUUAUAGGAAUUGAAGAGUUCCUGAUUCACUCGUAGCAUUCUCUCUCUUGGAUCACUGAAAAUUGGACCAGAGUUUGGAGGUUGUAGGAACAUAACUUGUGCCUUUGGAUCACUGCAUUACGCACUAUAUUGGGUAAUUUUCUAUGUCCUUCCUGCCUGUCCACAAGACAUAAGAGUCGACACAAAUAGUUGGAGCCACACAAUCUGUGAAAAUUGAAGUUUAGUGCAACUGUAAAUUAUUUACUUUCAUUUGUUCGAAAAUUUGAUGUUUUAGAGAAAUAGAAUACUAGAGGUUUAUUUGGAUUUAAACCUUAUUCGUGAGAAUUUUGAAAACUUUUAAGUUUUAGUAUAUACCAAUAAAAAAACUAGGGAGUGCACUAUUUUGGUUUGAACUAUUGAUGUUCAAACUUGCAGGAUUCACUAGCAAAAUAUAUGUGCAUUUGUUGUAUAAGUUGCAUGUUGUUGAUUACUAUAUAUAUAUAUCAUGUAAUAGUGGAACUUGUCCAAAAUAAGCAUUGUUCACUA